GCAAGUCGAAUGUCUUUAUGACAUGGCAAACGGGUGCGUAACACGUGCUUAACCUGCCCUUUGGUGGGGGAUACCUGUGGAAACACAACUAAUCCCCCAUAAGUUCUUCAAAAUGAAAAUAUGAAGAAGAAAGGUUUACCGCCAAAGGAGGGGAGCGCGGCCUAUUAGUUAGUUGGUAAGGUAAUGGCUUACCAAGACAAUGAUGGGUAGCUGGUCUGAGAGGAUGAUC
RNAcentral lists this ribosomal RNA (229 nucleotides) under uncultured bacterium. RNAcentral's name for it is "partial 16S ribosomal RNA". It matches the Rfam family "Bacterial small subunit ribosomal RNA", at positions 57 to 305 of the family's 1533-position model. The record is from RNAcentral.